CAGGUAGGACUACCCGCUGAACUUAAGCAUAUCAAUAAGCGGAGGAAAAGAAACUAACAAGGAUUCCCCUAGUAACUGCGAGUGAAGCGGGAAAAGCUCAAAUUUAAAAUCUGGCAGUCUUUGGCUGUCCGAGUUGUAAUCAG
This 143-nucleotide ribosomal RNA is filed under the name Thaxterogaster sp. H6784. RNAcentral's name for it is "partial 28S ribosomal RNA". It matches the Rfam family "Eukaryotic large subunit ribosomal RNA", at positions 12 to 152 of the family's 3401-position model. Lineage: Eukaryota; Fungi; Basidiomycota; Agaricomycetes; Agaricales; Cortinariaceae. The record is from RNAcentral.